AGGCCUAACACAUGCAAGCCGAGGGGUAAGUCUCUUUCGGGAGAACACGACCGGCGCACGGGUGAGUAACGCGUAUGCAACCUACCUUUGGCACGGGGACAGUCCGGGGAAACCCGGAUUAAUACCCGGUAUAGUCUAUUAUACACCUGUAUAAAAGACGAGAGCUACGGCGGCCAAAGAUGGGCAUGCGUGCCAUUAGUUAGUUGGUAGGGUAACGGCCUACCAAGGCAUCGAUGGCUACGGGGUCUAAAAGGAUGAGCCCGCACACUGGUACUGAGACACGGACCAGACUCCUACGGGAGGCAGCAGUGAGGAAUAUUGGUCAAUGGGUGGAAGCCUGAACCAGCCAUGCCGCGUGCAGGAAGACGGCCUUAUGGGUUGUAAACUGCUUUUCUACGGGACGAACGGCUCUGACGUGUCAGAGAUUGACGGUACCGUAGGAAUAAGCAUCGGCUAACUCCGUGCCAGCAGCCGCGGUAAUACGGAGGAUGCGAGCGUUAUCCGGAUUUAUUAGGUUUAAAGGGUGCGUAGGCUGGGCAAUAAGUCAGUGGUGAAAGUCCGCGGCUCAACCGUGGGAUUGCCAUUGAAACUGUUGUUCUUGAGUACAGUCGAGGUAGGCGGAAUGUGUAAUGUAGCGGUGAAAUGCAUAGAUAUUACCCAGAACACCGAUUGCGUAGGCAGCUUACCAGCCUGGAACUGACGCUGAUGCACGAAAGCGUGGGGAGCGAACAGGAUUAGAUACCCUGGUAGUCCACGCCGUAAACGAUGAUCACUCGCUGUUGGCAAUAUAGAGUCAGCGGCUGAGCGAAAGCAUUAAGUGAUCCACCUGGGGAGUACGUCGGCAACGAUGAAACUCAAAGGAAUUGACGGGGGCCCGCACAAGCGGUGGAACAUGUGGUUUAAUUCGAUGAUACGCGAGGAACCUUACCUGGGCUUAAAUGUAGCCGGACGAUUCCGGAAACCGGGAUUUCCUUAACGGCUGGUUACAAGGUGCUGCAUGGCUGUCGUCAGCUCGUGCCGUGAGGUGUCGGGUUAAGUCCCAUAACGAGCGCAACCCUUAUUCUUUAGUUGCCAGCGGGUAGAGCCGGGGACUCUAAGGAGACUGCCA
This 1108-nucleotide ribosomal RNA is filed under the name uncultured organism. RNAcentral's name for it is "bacterial SSU rRNA". It matches the Rfam family "Bacterial small subunit ribosomal RNA", at positions 44 to 1154 of the family's 1533-position model. The record is from RNAcentral.